RNAcentral lists this ribosomal RNA (116 nucleotides) under Pteropus alecto (black flying fox). Lineage: Eukaryota; Metazoa; Chordata; Mammalia; Chiroptera; Pteropodidae. The record is from RNAcentral.
GUCUACAGCCAUGCCACCAUGAACAAGCACAAUGUCUGAUCUUGGAAGCUAAGCAGGGUUGGGCCUGGUUAGUACUUGGAUGGGAGACCACCUAGGAAGACCAGGUGCCUUAGGCA